UCGAGAAUCUUCGGCAAUGGGCGCAAGCCUGACCGAGCGACGCCGCGUGCGGGAUGAAGGCCUUCGGGUUGUAAACCGCUGUCAGUAGGGAGCAAAUGCAUAGGGGUUCUCUCCUAUGUUUGAGCAAUCUGCAGAGGAAGUACGGGCUAAGUUCGUGCCAGCAGCCGCGGUAACACGAACCGUACGAACGUUAUUCGGAAUCACUGGGCUUAAAGAGUUCGUAGGCGGCUCGGAAGGUUGGGUGUGAAAUCCCACAGCUCAACUGUGGAACUGCGCCCAAAACCGUCGGGCUUGAGGGAGACAGGGGUGAGCGGAACAGAUGGUGGAGCGGUGAAAUGCGUUGAUAUCAUCUGGAACACCGGUGGCGAAGGCGGCUCACUGGGUCUCUUCUGACGCUGAGGAACGAAAGCUAGGGUAGCGAACGGGAUUAGAUACCCCUGUAGUCC
This 446-nucleotide ribosomal RNA is filed under the name uncultured prokaryote. RNAcentral's name for it is "bacterial SSU rRNA". It matches the Rfam family "Bacterial small subunit ribosomal RNA", at positions 355 to 796 of the family's 1533-position model. The record is from RNAcentral.